AUGAACCACCGCACAAAUCACAUACUCACCUCGAGCCGCGCCUCCAUUAACGCGCAACCAGACAUCCAUCACGACCCUGAUGGUGUCUCCGAGAUGAUCUCUCUGGCUGCGACAACCUCCUUUUGCCUCCAGGAUCAUAUCUCGUCACUAAACACGCUUUUUGGGUUUUAUUUUGUUUCUCUUUUGGUUAUGAUUUUAUUUCAUUGGAGGAGUAAUGUUGUGGUUCAAAGUGAAUUUUCUUUUGAGUUUUUUUUAAUGAUAGAGAAAUGA
This is a non-coding RNA of Vicia faba (fava bean), 270 nucleotides long. The record is from the annotation of a GenBank genome assembly. Lineage: Eukaryota; Viridiplantae; Streptophyta; Magnoliopsida; Fabales; Fabaceae.